CCUACGGGAGGCAGCAGUGAGGAAUAUUGGUCAAUGGACGAGAGUCUGAACCAGCCAAGUAGCGUGAAGGAUGACUGCCCUAUGGGUUGUAAACUUCUUUUAUAUGGGAAUAAAAUGUUCCACGUGUGGGAUUUUGUAUGUACCAUAUGAAUAAGGAUCGGCUAACUCCGUGCCAGCAGCCGCGGUAAUACGGAGGAUCCGAGCGUUAUCCGGAUUUAUUGGGUUUAAAGGGAGCGUAGGUGGAUUGUUAAGUCAGUUGUGAAAGUUUGCGGCUCAACCGUAAAAUUGCAGUUGAAACUGGCAGUCUUGAGUACAGUAGAGGUGGGUGGAAUUCGUGGUGUAGCGGUGAAAUGCUUAGAUAUCACGAAGAACUUCGAUUGCGAAGGCAGUUCACUGGACUGCAACUGACACUGAGGCUCGAAAGUGUGGGUAUCAAACAGGAUUAGAUACCCUUGUAGUC
RNAcentral lists this ribosomal RNA (460 nucleotides) under uncultured bacterium. Its description in RNAcentral is "partial 16S ribosomal RNA". It matches the Rfam family "Bacterial small subunit ribosomal RNA", at positions 338 to 795 of the family's 1533-position model. The record is from RNAcentral.